This 329-nucleotide ribosomal RNA is filed under the name Staphylococcus pseudintermedius. Its description in RNAcentral is "partial 23S ribosomal RNA". It matches the Rfam family "Bacterial large subunit ribosomal RNA", at positions 1471 to 1799 of the family's 2925-position model. The record is from RNAcentral. Lineage: Bacteria; Bacillati; Bacillota; Bacilli; Caryophanales; Staphylococcaceae.
GACGCAGUAGGAUAGGCGAAGCGUGCUGUUGGAGUGCACGUCCAAGCAGUGAGAUUGAGUGUUAGGCAAAUCCGGCACUCUUAAGAUUGAGCUGUGAUGGGGAGAGGAACUUGUUCCUCGAGUCGUUGAUUUCACACUGCCGAGAAAAGCCUCUAGCUAGAAUAACGGUGCCCGUACCGCAAACCGACACAGGUAGUCAAGAUGAGAAUUCUAAGGUGAGCGAGCGAACUCUCGUUAAGGAACUCGGCAAAAUGACCCCGUAACUUCGGGAGAAGGGGUGCUCUUUGAGGUUCACGCUUCGAAGAGCCGCAGUGAAUAGGCCCAAGCGA